GUGCUGCAACCUUAUUUACGUUUAGCUAUCAUUUUCUACACUGCCUAACAGUUAUAUUUUUCUUGUAAAUUAACAAAAUUGUUCUGCUUUUCUAAGAUGAACCGAUGAAGACAGUUGUAAUUUCUUCCGCUUAUUUUAAGAGUAGCAACUAACAAGCUCAGUAAACAGUGAUCUUACCCCAGUUGUGUAAGCAGUUGUAUCCAUACUAGUGCCCGUUAUUGUCUAAAGAAGUAAAAAUAUGUAGUACGCACGCGAUUGUAUAAUCAGUAGUGGCGGAUGAAGCUCAAUAUUACACAAAGCAGUUACGUGCCAAUGUUUAAUCAGUUCAUUGCUUAUGAAAUUCGUAACUCAUACCUAAUUACUGAGAGGAUUAUGCAUGCAUAGACCUAACCUCGGGCAUGUCUUUGGCGGUCCACGCCAGGUUUCCGACUUCUUUUCAUAUCUAACUUAUCAACUAAGUCUGAAUUUAAAUCAUACAGACGAGUAUACCAAGGUCAGUGAUUUCCAGUCGAAAAGAGGGUAAAACAUGAAAAGUACUAGUACCAGGGCUGGUUUCCCCCAGUCGCCGACCCGAUUAGCCUUUUGUUCAUACCUAUGUUUUGUUUAUGUUUAAGGGUUUACUUCAAACGGAGCGCUACCAUCACUCAGCAGAUCUGAAGGUUAAAGUUGGCCAUAGAUCGUGCAUCUGGCAACGUUUUCUGGAGCCAUGGGACGCACCCUCAUUCUACCACAUCUGGGGAGCAACUGGAGAGCAGCCGGUCAUACUCAUAGUUUACAGUUUUAUACAGCAUUAUACAUUGUACAGAAAACUCAAUUGCGCCGAGGAAUCUUCGGCGCAUUUUUAAAACGUUUUUCAUUCUAAAAUACAAUACACUGUAUAAGUACUGUAUUUACAGGAUAGACAGACAAAACAAAAUUUGAAGUUACGGGUGGCAAAGGGGAGCGCUUCUCUUCUGAUUUCAGUAGCGAAUUUGAGAUAGAAGUGAAAAGUAAUUACACGAUAUUCAUCCGCAAAGAAUGCCAGGAAUUUGUUUUGUUGGCGGAUUUUAAGAGAUCCUGAACAUUGUUGUGCCCUUUGAAAGUGAAGAUGAAUCAUUUUGUCCGUACAAAAUGCCAUUUACAAGUCAAAUUCGUUUUGUCUAAACUUUGUAGCGCGAGUAUUUGCCUAGAAAAAGCUUCCAUGAUGAAAAAUUGUCGUCCACAAAGUUACGGCGUCAUUGCGUUAAGACCCGAUAUUUUUCGGUUGAAAGAAAAAUUGAUUAAUGUUGUUGAACUUAGUUGUCGAGAGAGAAUUUACAACAUGAUUACAUGCAUAGCAUACACAUUAUUAUUUUAGAAAGACGGGCAUUUUCAUGAAAGGGGAUCCCUCGAAAAGUUAGAAAUCAUGUCAUAACCAGUAAGUAAACAUAGCCCUGUCUCAUCUUUGAAGAUGUCUUUGUUAAUUUGAUGUUAACAAAUAUUAAAGGUUAGAUAUAAUAUGUAUCGAAAAAUAUACCCUUCACCCCUUUUAUUGCUGAAUUUUAAUAACAUUC
Molecule: long non-coding RNA, 1532 nt
Organism: Macrobrachium nipponense
Lineage: Eukaryota; Metazoa; Arthropoda; Malacostraca; Decapoda; Palaemonidae
Exons: 3
Source: RefSeq, a predicted model, not a curated record